UCGUAACAAGGUCUCCGUUGGUGAACCAGCGGAGGGAUCAUUACCGAGUUAUC
RNAcentral lists this ribosomal RNA (53 nucleotides) under Metarhizium robertsii. Its description in RNAcentral is "partial 18S ribosomal RNA". The stretch from base 1 to 43 matches the Rfam family "Eukaryotic small subunit ribosomal RNA", at positions 1789 to 1831 of the family's 1831-position model. The record is from RNAcentral. Lineage: Eukaryota; Fungi; Ascomycota; Sordariomycetes; Hypocreales; Clavicipitaceae.